This 1168-nucleotide long non-coding RNA is filed under the name Taeniopygia guttata (zebra finch). RNAcentral's name for it is "lncRNA (ENSTGUG00000023249.1)". Lineage: Eukaryota; Metazoa; Chordata; Aves; Passeriformes; Estrildidae. The record is from RNAcentral.
AUACAGGGCUGAAAACAAAGACAUUCAAACCUUGAGCCAUUUAGAAGAGGAAGAAGCCAAAAUCUGUGCCAGAGGUUUGACUACUGGGAUACUCAUGGCUUCAGUCUAUUUACAGGAGUACUGAUGACUACAAUAAGAGCUAUAAAGGAAACAUGAACCUGCCUCGUGUGAUGAUGUGGUGAAAAAUUAGAUGCCUCUGGAGAGCUGGACCUGAACUGCUGUUCCAAGGUUAUGGGGGCUCUAUUUUGCCACUGUCUUCACCAGCCUGUGAGAAAGAAACAGCCUUCAGAGAUCUCUCGUCUCCAUCCAUCCAAACUGUCCUGGAGUCCAGAAUCCUCACAGGAUCCAUACAGGGAAGGGACAGCAGGAAACAAGGCUGGUGGUCAAGCUGGUCAAGAGGAAAACCAAAGCUCGUCCUUAUUGAUGUCCUUCAGAGAGAACAUUUUUGAAAUCACAGCUCUGUGCCAGGCAAUGAAAGAGAGGCAGCUGCUGGCUGGGCAGGAUGAGGCCAGCCCAAGGUCCUGCAGAACAACCCAUGAGAGGUCUGUGGACUGGUGCGCCACGCUGGAUAUGGCCAGGUGCUGAGCAGGCUGAGAAGGCUGAGCAGAGCAUCCUGGCACCAGCACAGGUGCCUUGCUCAAAGACUUGGACCAGUGCUGUUCUGUGCUGUAGGGGAACACUUUGGACCUGAUUCUCAUUUGCACUACAGCAUGUUUUACAGCACUAUGGCAGUGGAAAGAAACCAUGAGAUGAAUAUAGAUCACUCCAAUUUAAAGCUCCUUUAUGUUAUAAGGGAACACCAUGAAAAUGGAAAUUGGGUCCCCUAUUUUUAAAGCCUGUCGGCAGGUGCCUAUAAAAUGAAGAAAGAUACUUCCAUUGCCUGGGCAAUGGGAAAUUACAUCCUUCUCUGCAUUCCUCUUGGUUGUGCUGUGGGCCAAGUAAGGAGCAGAGCGCCCCAGAAGAGACCUCUGAGUGACAAAUUGCAGGCCAAGCCUGAAUACUACCUACCUGUCAGAGGAUGGGAUCCAUGUGUAGGAGGAUGUUAGUGGGCUCAUUCUCAAUGCAAAAGGCAGGUGUAGUAGUCAUGAUUUGCAUCCAGCAUCUGCUCUCUGUUCCAUGUGGACAAGGCCAGGCCAGGGAAAAUGCUGACUCACUGCUACUGCUGAUC